This is a non-coding RNA of Pelobates cultripes (western spadefoot toad), 305 nucleotides long. Lineage: Eukaryota; Metazoa; Chordata; Amphibia; Anura; Pelobatidae. The record is from the annotation of a GenBank genome assembly.
CUUCUCUUUAACAGAAGUUUACAAUGGAUUUUUCAAAUUAUUCUUCUCGUAUAAUGUCUUAUGUUAAUUGUUUUCCAUUUUUGCUGGGCCUUCUAUUUUUCAUGUUUCUUAUCAUUUUUAUGUUUUGUUUUUAAAUUAUUAUUGCUCUCUCCUAAAUUGCCAUUUUCACGGAUCUCCUUUCCUCUCACCGUUCAUUCCUUCGUCCCUCCAAUGUCUCCUCAUCUCUGCUCCCUCCUCAUCUAAAUUCGCGCAAACUGAAUUAAUGUGCCAGCUAAUCAGGAUCUGGUCGGAUUUCACUCUGUCCU